This 253-nucleotide ribosomal RNA is filed under the name uncultured bacterium. Its description in RNAcentral is "partial 16S ribosomal RNA". It matches the Rfam family "Bacterial small subunit ribosomal RNA", at positions 524 to 776 of the family's 1533-position model. The record is from RNAcentral.
UACGUAGGGUCCGAGCGUUGUCCGGAAUUAUUGGGCGUAAAGAGCUCGUAGGCGGUUUGUCGCGUCUGCUGUGAAAUCCCGAGGCUCAACCUCGGGCCUGCAGUGGGUACGGGCAGACUGGAGUGCGGUAGGGGAGAAUGGAAUUCCUGGUGUAGCGGUGGAAUGCGCAGAUAUCAGGAGGAACACCGAGGGCGAAGGCAGUGCUCUGGGCCGUAACUGACGCUGAGGAGCGAAAGCGUGGGGAGCGAACAGG